GUGGGGAAUAUUGGGCAAUGGGGGAAACCCUGACCCAGCGACGCCGCGUGAGGGAAGACGGCCUUCGGGUUGUAAACCUCUUUUGUACGGGAAGAAGGAAGUGACGGUACUGUACGAAUAAGUCCCGGCUAACUACGUGCCAGCAGCCGCGGUAAUACGUAGGGGACGAGCGUUGUCCGGAAUUACUGGGCGUAAAGGGCGCGCAGGCUGUGCUGCAAGUCAGCUGUGAAAUGUCUGGGCUUAACCCGGCCAUGCGGUUGAGACUGCAUUGCUGUCGUGCUGUAGAGGAAAGUGGAAUUCCCAGUGUAGCGGUGAAAUGCGUAGAUAUUGGGAAGAGCACCGGUGGCGAAGGCGACUUGCUGGGCAGCAACUGACGCUGAGGCGCGAAAGCCAGGGGAGCAAACGGGAUUAGAAACCCGGGUAGUCC
RNAcentral lists this ribosomal RNA (427 nucleotides) under uncultured bacterium. Its description in RNAcentral is "partial 16S ribosomal RNA". It matches the Rfam family "Bacterial small subunit ribosomal RNA", at positions 354 to 796 of the family's 1533-position model. The record is from RNAcentral.